This 467-nucleotide ribosomal RNA is filed under the name uncultured bacterium. RNAcentral's name for it is "partial 16S ribosomal RNA". It matches the Rfam family "Bacterial small subunit ribosomal RNA", at positions 28 to 507 of the family's 1533-position model. The record is from RNAcentral.
GACGAACGCUGGCGGCGUGCUUAACACAUGCAAGUCGAACGGAAAGGCCCUGCUUUUGUGGGGUGCUCGAGUGGCGAACGGGUGAGUAACACGUGAGUACCUGCCCUUGACUUUGGGAUAACUUCAGGAAACUGGGGCUAAUACCGGAUAGGAGCCCCCGCUGCAUGGUGGGGGUUGGAAAGGUUCGGCGGUUGGGGAUGGACUCGCGGCUUAUCAGCUUGUUGGUGGGGUAGUGGCUUACCAAGGCUUUGACGGGUAGCCGGCCUGAGAGGGUGACCGGCCACAUUGGGACUGAGAUACGGCCCAGACUCCUACGGGAGGCAGCAGUGGGGAAUAUUGCACAAUGGGCGGAAGCCUGAUGCAGCAACGCCGCGUGCGGGAUGACGGCCUUCGGGUUGUAAACCGCUUUCGCCUGUGACGAAGCGUGAGUGACGGUAAUGGGUAAAGAAGCACCGGCUAACUACGUG